This 560-nucleotide ribosomal RNA is filed under the name Bacillus amyloliquefaciens. RNAcentral describes it as "bacterial SSU rRNA". It matches the Rfam family "Bacterial small subunit ribosomal RNA", at positions 74 to 618 of the family's 1533-position model. The record is from RNAcentral. Lineage: Bacteria; Bacillati; Bacillota; Bacilli; Caryophanales; Bacillaceae.
GGGAGCUUGCUCCCUGAUGUUAGCGGCGGACGGGUGAGUAACACGUGGGUAACCUGCCUGUAAGACUGGGAUAACUCCGGGAAACCGGGGCUAAUACCGGAUGGUUGUUUGAACCGCAUGGUUCAAACAUAAAAGGUGGCUUCGGCUACCACUUACAGAUGGACCCGCGGCGCAUUAGCUAGUUGGUGAGGUAACGGCUCACCAAGGCGACGAUGCGUACCCGACCUGAGAGGGUGAUCGGCCACACUGGGACUGAGACACGGCCCAGACUCCUACGGGAGGCAGCAGUAGGGAAUCUUCCGCAAUGGACGAAAGUCUGACGGAGCAACGCCGCGUGAGUGAUGAAGGUUUUCGGAUCGUAAAGCUCUGUUGUUAGGGAAGAACAAGUGCCGUUCAAAUAGGGCGGCACCUUGACGGUACCUAACCAGAAAGCCACGGCUAACUACGUGCCAGCAGCCGCGGUAAUACGUAGGUGGCAAGCGUUGUCCGGAAUUAUUGGGCGUAAAGGGCUCGCAGGCGGUUUCUUAAGUCUGAUGUGAAAGCCCCCGGCUCAACCGGGG